Molecule: ribosomal RNA, 581 nt
Filed under: Staphylococcus aureus
Lineage: Bacteria; Bacillati; Bacillota; Bacilli; Caryophanales; Staphylococcaceae
Description: bacterial SSU rRNA
Rfam family: Bacterial small subunit ribosomal RNA
Source: RNAcentral
GUAAGGUAACGGCUUACCAAGGCAACGAUGCAUAGCCGACCUGAGAGGGUGAUCGGCCACACUGGAACUGAGACACGGUCCAGACUCCUACGGGAGGCAGCAGUAGGGAAUCUUCCGCAAUGGGCGAAAGCCUGACGGAGCAACGCCGCGUGAGUGAUGAAGGUCUUCGGAUCGUAAAACUCUGUUAUUAGGGAAGAACAUAUGUGUAAGUAACUGUGCACAUCUUGACGGUACCUAAUCAGAAAGCCACGGCUAACUACGUGCCAGCAGCCGCGGUAAUACGUAGGUGGCAAGCGUUAUCCGGAAUUAUUGGGCGUAAAGCGCGCGUAGGCGGUUUUUUAAGUCUGAUGUGAAAGCCCACGGCUCAACCGUGGAGGGUCAUUGGAAACUGGAAAACUUGAGUGCAGAAGAGGAAAGUGGAAUUCCAUGUGUAGCGGUGAAAUGCGCAGAGAUAUGGAGGAACACCAGUGGCGAAGGCGACUUUCUGGUCUGUAACUGACGCUGAUGUGCGAAAGCGUGGGGAUCAAACAGGAUUAGAUACCCUGGUAGUCCACGCCGUAAACGAUGAGUGCUAAGUGUUA